This 438-nucleotide ribosomal RNA is filed under the name uncultured bacterium. Its description in RNAcentral is "bacterial SSU rRNA". It matches the Rfam family "Bacterial small subunit ribosomal RNA", at positions 23 to 507 of the family's 1533-position model. The record is from RNAcentral.
CUCAGAACGAACGCUGGCGGCAUGCCUAACACAUGCAAGUCGAACGAGACCUUCGGGUCUAGUGGCGCACGGGUGCGUAACGCGUGGGAAUCUGCCCUUGGGUUCGGAAUAACAGUUAGAAAUGACUGCUAAUACCGGAUAAUGUCUUCGGACCAAAGAUUUAUCGCCCAAGGAUGAGCCCGCGUAAGAUUAGCUAGUUGGUGGGGUAAAAGCCUACCAAGGCGACGAUCUUUAGCUGGUCUGAGAGGAUGAUCAGCCACACUGGGACUGAGACACGGCCCAGACUCCUACGGGAGGCAGCAGUGGGGAAUAUUGGACAAUGGGCGAAAGCCUGAUCCAGCAAUGCCGCGUGAGUGAUGAAGGCCCUAGGGUUGUAAAGCUCUUUUACCAGGGAUGAUAAUGACAGUACCUGGAGAAUAAGCUCCGGCUAACUCCGUG